This 150-nucleotide ribosomal RNA is filed under the name uncultured bacterium. Its description in RNAcentral is "partial 16S ribosomal RNA". It matches the Rfam family "Bacterial small subunit ribosomal RNA", at positions 378 to 520 of the family's 1533-position model. The record is from RNAcentral.
CAAGUCUGAUGGAGCAACGCCGCGUGAGUGAAGAAGGUUUUCGGAUCGUAAAGCUCUGUUGUUGGUGAAGAAGGAUAGAGGUAGUAACUGGCCUUUAUUUGACGGUAAUCAACCAGAAAGUCACGGCUAACUACGUGCCAGCAGCCGCGG